RNAcentral lists this long non-coding RNA (408 nucleotides) under Trifolium pratense (red clover). RNAcentral describes it as "long non-coding RNA (TPRA_LNC010466)". The record is from RNAcentral. Lineage: Eukaryota; Viridiplantae; Streptophyta; Magnoliopsida; Fabales; Fabaceae.
CCUCAACUCCAGACCACUUUAUAUGAGGUAUGCCGGCUUCAAAUGGAAAUGAACACAUGAAUCAGAUCAAUGUUGUCAAUCGUAGAUAGGAGAAAAUAGCAGUUCAUUCAAAAUCAGGUAUACAUCAGUGCUAUAGCGGCACGGAACAAUAGUGAUCUGUUCAAAUUUCGCUACAGUAUAGCACUAUAGCCACGACAUAGGCCUGCGAAGCACUGUUGAGAAUAGUGGCGAUAGCAACCAAUAGCGGUUGAAAAGCAGUGCCAUCGUGGCGCAAUGAUACUUAUUUUUUAUUUUAUUAUUUAAUUUGUCGAAGGUAUAUUGGUNNNNNNNNNNNNAAUUUUGAGGGAAAUUCUCAAAAACCACUAUUUUUUAUUUUAUUAUUUAAUUUGUCGAAGGUAUAUUGGUACU